AUAAUAUUUUUUUAAUUUAAAUUUAAAAGUUAAACAACAUUUAUUGGAGUGUAUGGCCGAUUGUAAGCAGUUUCUGAAAAUUAAAGUAUACACGAGGCGUAGAUAAUUUAUGGUAAAAGGGUGGAAUAAAAACAUAAACCUCCUUCCUAAUAUUUUUAAUUUAAUUUGAUCUGUUACGAACAGAUAAUUUGUCCUUCACCAACAUUAACAAUUAACAACUAUAUUAGCACAAACGUCCCUACAGCUCAACUAUGAGUGCGGAUGUAAACAAACCGAUUACACUUGAAUUUCUUUAAAACAUAAAGAUAGUCGACAUUCUACUAGGCUCGCGGCAACUUACCUUUAUAGAUCUGUUAACUUAACUCGUACAGUAUUAUUGUGAUUACUAAAAUAAAUACUAUUAUUGUUUUACUUAUUAUUAUUAUUUCGGGUUGUGUACACUCGCCGUCGUCGUUCACCUAACUUGGAUACCACUAACACCUCUAGAGAUCCAGUCAGGGAAUAAUAGAUCCAACAUCAGGAAUAAUCAAAUUAAGUCAUAUGUUUAACACUUUGUCAUUAAAAAAUUUACCAAGAUCGCUCGAUUUAAUUCAUAUUUGUAUUGCUAACUCAAACUUAAAUCCAACAAUUGAAAUUAAAAAAGGGUGCCGAAAAAUUCUCAUCGAGGUCGCAAAAGAUGUGAAAAAAUAAUUUCUGUUGAACAGUACCAGUUUCGAGACUGCAGUCGAAGAACGCGAAAUUUAAAGCGCAGAAAACGGAAAAUUCUUCCAGAUUAAUCAAGGGAAACUCAAAAACUAUAAACGAUAGCCCAUUGAAAUGUGUUAUAAAAAUUAUGAACAGUCUAAUCGAAAAAGAAAAUUCAUCAAAAUGUAUGGUUGUAGUGAUGUCUAAAUUUGCAAAAUACAAACGCCGUGUAAGACGAUCAUAUCCACUUGAAGAUCGUGAUCCUAAUUCUCAGGACAGUGGUUCUCUUACUGCUCAUUCAGAUGAUUCCAGAUCAGUGUCAACAUUAUCUGAGAGCAAUACAUCAUGUACAGAUGAUUCAGAUGAUGAAUUCUUAGACAUUGCUGUAUCCCCAACAGGAUCGUCUUCAGAUUCACUUCUACUUGGAUUCAGUACAUUAACAGAAGGACAUAUUAUUAGCCAGUCAUCAAUUAUUGUUAAAAGAAAAACUACAAAAUAUUCUUCAGAUACUCCUCGCAAGACUGAUUUAUUGUUUGGUGAUAAUAAAAAUAAUGAAGCAGUUGCGAGAAAAAGAAAGUUGACACGUGAUUUAGAAUCAAAUCCUGAAAUUAAUGUAUUAAUAAAGAAAACUAGACCUAGUACGAAAUCUAAACCGGCCGAGAGAAGUUAAGGGACUAAUAUUGUCAACAUCAGCUGAUAUAAAAAUUGAUCAAGUUAUUAAUUAUUUGUCAUCCAAAAAUUUACCACAAGCACAAAAUGCAUUCCAUAAUUGCAUUGCUAAUUUAAACAUAAAUGGUUUUGAACAAAUGAAUUAUGAUAACGGGCGAUUUGAAAACUUAUAAAAAACGAUUAAAUUUGCGUUUUUAUCGAGCAUAUAAAAUUCUGCGAGAUUGCAUAAAAAUGUAUUCUCUUGAUGGACAUGAUACGUCAGAAAUGAGUAAUUGAACCUUAUACACUGUCUAUACAAUUAAAAAUAAAUGGGCAAAUAGUUUUACUAUGCUUUAGAUGUGUACGAAGGAGAUUUAAACGAAGACGACCGAAACGAUGUACGAAAAUGUAUAGUCGGAGAUAUAAUUAAAAUUAUUUCUGGUAAAAUUCCUCUAGAUGGAGUUGUUCGUGGUAUAAAAUUCUUCAUUUUUGGA
Molecule: RNA transcript, 1826 nt
Organism: Daktulosphaira vitifoliae (grape phylloxera)
Lineage: Eukaryota; Metazoa; Arthropoda; Insecta; Hemiptera; Phylloxeridae
Exons: 9
Source: RefSeq, a predicted model, not a curated record